Molecule: long non-coding RNA, 601 nt
Filed under: Monodelphis domestica (gray short-tailed opossum)
Lineage: Eukaryota; Metazoa; Chordata; Mammalia; Didelphimorphia; Didelphidae
Description: lncRNA (ENSMODG00000039390.1)
Source: RNAcentral
UACUUUUGUUCCCUGGGGUGAAAAGUGACUAAUGCAUAGUGACAUUCCCUGAUUACUCCAUUGGGCUGGAAACUACAAUCACUGGUGACUGGAGAGAAGCAACACCUGAAGAAGGAAGUGUACUAGUGGGGAAUCAAAGGAAACAAAGUUUUGACAGGAUAUUUGGAUUCCAAGCCAAAGGAAGAGUGAGAGUAACAACCCCCAAAGACAUUUUCAAAAGAAUUCUGGUCAUCUAAUUUCAAAAUAAUUUUUAAAAAUUGAAACUGAAUUACUGAACUCUUUCAAUGGGAACAGCUUUGAUUUAAGUUUCAUUAGCCAACUUCAUCCUUGGACGUUUCCCUAUCCUGGCUGGAUCAUGAUUGAUAUUAUAUAAUGCACUUCUUCAGUAUUCAAGGAAGCAUGGAUGUGGUUGCUCAGAUUGGAAGCCUGAAAGAAAGAAAGCAUUGAACUUCAUAAAGUGCCAGAGGUGAUUCCCUUUCUCUCUUCUGUUUCCAUCCACAUAUCUGAUUUCGAUGGGAACUAAAGUAAACUUGAGAAUGAAAGACCCACAUGAAAGUUAAAAAAAAAAACAACAGAUAUAGAACCAAGAACUUUAGGUAAC